AGUGAACGCUGGCGGUAGGCCUAACACAUGCAAGUCGAACGGCAGCACAGUAAGAGCUUGCUCUUACGGGUGGCGAGUGGCGGACGGGUGAGGAAUACAUCGGAAUCUACUUUUUCGUGGGGGAUAACGUAGGGAAACUUACGCUAAUACCGCAUACGACCUACGGGUGAAAGCAGGGGAUAUUCGGACCUUGCGCGAUUGAAUGAGCCGAUGUCGGAUUAGCUAGUUGGCGGGGUAAAGGCCCACCAAGGCGACGAUCCGUAGCUGGUCUGAGAGGAUGAUCAGCCACACUGGAACUGAGACACGGUCCAGACUCCUACGGGAGGCAGCAGUGGGGAAUAUUGGGCAAUGGGCGCAAGCCUGAUCCAGCCAUACCGCGUGAGUGAAGAAGGCCUUCGGGUUGUAAAGCCCUUUUGUUGGGAAAGAAAAGCAGCGGGUUUAUCCCCCGCUGUUCUGACGGUACCCAAAGAAUAAGCACCGGCUAACUUCGUG
This 492-nucleotide ribosomal RNA is filed under the name uncultured bacterium. Its description in RNAcentral is "partial 16S ribosomal RNA". It matches the Rfam family "Bacterial small subunit ribosomal RNA", at positions 29 to 507 of the family's 1533-position model. The record is from RNAcentral.